GACGAACGCUGGCGGCGUGCUUAACACAUGCAAGUCGAACGGAAAGACCCUGCUUUUGUGGGGUGCUCGAGUGGCGAACGGGUGAGUAACACGUGAGUAACCUGCCCUUGACUUUGGGAUAACUUCAGGAAACUGGGGCUAAUACCGGAUAGGAGCUCCUGCUGCAUGGUGGGGGUUGGAAAGUUUCGGCGGUUGGGGAUGGACUCGCGGCUUAUCAGCUUGUUGGUGGGGUAGUGGCUUACCAAGGCUUUGACGGGUAGCCGGCCUGAGAGGGUGACCGGCCACAAUGGGACUGAGGUACGGCCCAGACUCCUACGGGGGGCAGCAGGGGGGAAUAUUGCACAAUGGGGGGAAGCCUGAUGCAGCAACGCCGCGUGCGGGAUGACGGCCUUCGGGUUGUAAACCGCUUUCGCCUGUGACGAAGCGUGAGUGACGGUAAUGGGUAAAGAAGCACCGGCUAACUACGUG
This 468-nucleotide ribosomal RNA is filed under the name uncultured bacterium. RNAcentral's name for it is "partial 16S ribosomal RNA". It matches the Rfam family "Bacterial small subunit ribosomal RNA", at positions 28 to 507 of the family's 1533-position model. The record is from RNAcentral.